GAUGAAGAACGUAGAAAUGCGAUACGUAAUGUGAAUUGCAGAAUUCAGUGAAUCAUCGAGUCUUUGAACGCACAUUGCGCCCCCUGGUAUUCCGGGGGGCAUGCCUGUCCGAGCGUCAUUGCUGCCCUCAAGCACGGCUUGUGUGUUGGGCCUCCGUCCUCCUCCCGGGGGACGGGCCCGAAAGGCAGCGGCGGCACCGCGUCCGGUCCUCGAGCGUAUGGGGCUUCGUCACCCGCUCUUGUAGGCCCGGCCGGCGCUUGCCGACACAUCAAUCUUUUUUCCAGGUUGACCUCGGAUCAGGUAGGGAUACCCGCUGAACUUAAGCAUAUCAAUAAGCGGAGGA
This 343-nucleotide unclassified non-coding RNA is filed under the name soil metagenome. Its description in RNAcentral is "partial contains 5.8S ribosomal RNA, internal transcribed spacer 2, and large subunit ribosomal RNA". The stretch from base 1 to 118 matches the Rfam family "5.8S ribosomal RNA", at positions 35 to 154 of the family's 154-position model. The record is from RNAcentral.